CAGUCGAGCGAGCUUGCCUAGAUGAUUUUAGUGCUUGCACUAAAUGAAACUAGAUACAAGCGAGCGGCGGACGGGUGAGUAACACGUGGGUAACCUGCCCAAGAGACUGGGAUAACACCUGGAAACAGAUGCUAAUACCGGAUAACAACACUAGACGCAUGUCUAGAGUUUGAAAGAUGGUUCUGCUAUCACUCUUGGAUGGACCUGCGGUGCAUUAGCUAGUUGGUAAGGUAACGGCUUACCAAGGCAAUGAUGCAUAGCCGAGUUGAGAGACUGAUCGGCCACAUUGGGACUGAGACACGGCCCAAACUCCUACGGGAGGCAGCAGUAGGGAAUCUUCCACAAUGGACGAAAGUCUGAUGGAGCAACGCCGCGUGAGUGAAGAAGGGUUUCGGCUCGUAAAGCUCUGUUGGUAGUGAAGAAAGAUAGAGGUAGUAACUGGCCUUUAUUUGACGGUAAUUACUUAGAAAGUCACGGCUAACUACGUGCCAGCAGCCGCGGUAAUACGUAGGUGGCAAGCGUUGUCCGGAUUUAUUGGGCGUAAAGCGAGUGCAGGCGGUUCAAUAAGUCUGAUGUGAAAGCCUUCGGCUCAACCGGAGAAUUGCAUCAGAAACUGUUGAACUUGAGUGCAGAAGAGGAGAGUGGAACUCCAUGUGUAGCGGUGGAAUGCGUAGAUAUAUGGAAGAACACCAGUGGCGAAGGCGGCUCUCUGGUCUGCAACUGACGCUGAGGCUCGAAAGCAUGGGUAGCGAACAGGAUUAGAUACCCUGGUAGUCCAUGCCGUAAACGAUGAGUGCUAAGUGUUGGGAG
Molecule: ribosomal RNA, 810 nt
Filed under: uncultured bacterium
Lineage: Bacteria
Description: bacterial SSU rRNA
Rfam family: Bacterial small subunit ribosomal RNA
Source: RNAcentral